RNAcentral lists this ribosomal RNA (768 nucleotides) under uncultured Pantoea sp. RNAcentral describes it as "bacterial SSU rRNA". It matches the Rfam family "Bacterial small subunit ribosomal RNA", at positions 28 to 788 of the family's 1533-position model. Lineage: Bacteria; Pseudomonadati; Pseudomonadota; Gammaproteobacteria; Enterobacterales; Erwiniaceae. The record is from RNAcentral.
AUUGAACGCUGGCGGCAGGCCUAACACAUGCAAGUCGGACGGUAGCACAGAGAGCUUGCUCUCGGGUGACGAGUGGCGGACGGGUGAGUAAUGUCUGGGGAUCUGCCCGAUAGAGGGGGAUAACCACUGGAAACGGUGGCUAAUACCGCAUAACGUCGCAAGACCAAAGAGGGGGACCUUCGGGCCUCUCACUAUCGGAUGAACCCAGAUGGGAUUAGCUAGUAGGCGGGGUAACGGCCCACCUAGGCGACGAUCCCUAGCUGGUCUGAGAGGAUGACCAGCCACACUGGAACUGAGACACGGUCCAGACUCCUACGGGAGGCAGCAGUGGGGAAUAUUGCACAAUGGGCGCAAGCCUGAUGCAGCCAUGCCGCGUGUAUGAAGAAGGCCUUCGGGUUGUAAAGUACUUGCAGCGGGGAGGAAGGCAGUGAGGUUAAUAACCUACUGAUUGACGUUACCCGCAGAAGAAGCACCGGCUAACUCCGUGCCAGCAGCCGCGGUAAUACGGAGGGUGCAAGCGUUAAUCGGAAUUACUGGGCGUAAAGCGCACGCAGGCGGUCUGUUAAGUCAGAUGUGAAAUCCCCGGGCUUAGCCUGGGAACUGCAUUUGAAACUGGCAGGCUUGAGUCUCGUAGAGGGGGGUAGAAUUCCAGGUGUAGCGGUGAAAUGCGUAGAGAUCUGGAGGAAUACCGGUGGCGAAAGGCGGCCCCCUGGACGAAGACUGACGUUCAGGUGCGAAGCGUGGGGAGCAAACAGGAUUAGAUACCCU